AGUGAACGCUGGUGGUAGGCCUAACACAUGCAAGUCGAACGGCAGCACAGUAAGAGCUUGCUCUUACGGGUGGCGAGUGGCGGACGGGUGAGGAAUACAUCGGAAUCUACUUUUUCGUGGGGGAUAACGUAGGGAAACUUACGCUAAUACCGCAUACGACCUACGGGUGAAAGCGGGGGAUCUUCGGACCUUGCGCGAUUGAAUGAGCCGAUGUCGGAUUAGCUAGUUGGCGGGGUAAAGGCCCACCAAGGCGACGAUCCGUAGCUGGUCUGAGAGGAUGAUCAGCCACACUGGAACUGAGACACGGUCCAGACUCCUACGGGAGGCAGCAGUGGGGAAUAUUGGACAAUGGGCGCAAGCCUGAUCCAGCCAUACCGCGUGGGUGAAGAAGGCCUUCGGGUUGUAAAGCCCUUUUGUUGGGAAAGAAAAGCAGCAGGUUAAUACCCCGCUGUUCUGACGGUACCCAAAGAAUAAGCACCGGCUAACUUCGUG
RNAcentral lists this ribosomal RNA (492 nucleotides) under uncultured bacterium. RNAcentral describes it as "partial 16S ribosomal RNA". It matches the Rfam family "Bacterial small subunit ribosomal RNA", at positions 29 to 507 of the family's 1533-position model. The record is from RNAcentral.